CCUACGGGGGGCAGCAGUGGGGAAUAUUGGACAAUGGGGGCAACCCUGAUCCAGCCAUGCCGCGUGUGUGAAGAAGGCCCUCGGGUUGUAAAGCACUUUCAGUGAGGAAGAACGCCUGGUGGUUAAUACCCAUCAGGAAAGACAUCACUCACAGCAGAAGCACCGGCUAACUCCGUGCCAGCAGCCGCGGUAAUACGGAGGGUGCGAGCGUUAAUCGGAAUUACUGGGCGUAAAGCGCGCGUAGGUGGCUUGAUAAGCCGGUUGUGAAAGCCCCGGGCUCAACCUGGGAACGGCAUCCGGAACUGUCAAGCUAGAGUGCAGGAGAGGAAGGUAGAAUUCCCGGUGUAGCGGUGAAAUGCGUAGAGAUCGGGAGGAAUACCAGUGGCGAAGGCGGCCUUCUGGACUGACACUGACACUGAGGUGCGAAAGCGUGGGUAGCAAACAGGAUUAGAUACCCUAGUAGUC
Molecule: ribosomal RNA, 465 nt
Filed under: Vreelandella stevensii
Lineage: Bacteria; Pseudomonadati; Pseudomonadota; Gammaproteobacteria; Oceanospirillales; Halomonadaceae
Description: partial 16S ribosomal RNA
Rfam family: Bacterial small subunit ribosomal RNA
Source: RNAcentral